AGAGUUUGAUCCUGGCUCAGAGUGAACGCUGGCGGUGUGCCUAACACAUGCAAGUCGAACGGUAACAGGUUAAGCUGACGAGUGGCGCACGGGUGAGUAAAAGAUAGCUAACAUUCCCUUUGGAGGGGAACAACAGAUAGAAAUGUCUGCUAAUACCCCAUACUCCGAGCAAUCGGGAAACGGUUUUUCGCCAAAGGAUUGGGCUAUCACCUAUCAGUUAGUUGGCAGGGUAAAAGCCUACCAAGACUAUGACGGGUAACUGGUCUGAGAGGACAAUCAGUCACACUGGAACUGAGACACGGUCCAGACUCCUACGGGAGGCAGCAGUGGGGAAUAUUGCGCAAUGGGGGAAACCCUGACGCAGCAACACCGCGUGGAGGAUGGAGCAUUUCGAUGUGUAAACUCCUUUUGAGAGGGAAGAAUAAAGACGGUACCUCUCGAAUAAGCACCGGCUAACUCCGUGCCAGCAGCCGCGGUAAUACGGAGGGUGCAAGCGUUACUCGGAAUCACUGGGCGUAAAGAACGCGUAGGCGGGGUUAUAAGUCUUGAGUGAAAUACUAUAGCUUAACUAUAGAAUUGCUUGAGAAACUAUAAUCCUAGAAUCUGAAAGAGGUAAAUGGAAUUAGUAGUGUAGGGGUAAAAUCCGUAGAUAUUACUAGGAAUACCAAAAGCGAAAGCAAUUUUACUGGGUCAGUAUUGACGCUGUGGCGUGAAAGUGUGGGUAGCAAACAGGAUUAGAUACUCUGGUAGUCCACACCCUAAACUAUGAACGCUAGUCGUCGGAGAGUUAUAUCUUUUCGGUGAUGCAGUUAACACGUUAAGCAUUCCGCCUGGGGAGUACGGUCGCAGUUAAAACUCAAGGAAUAGACGGGGACCCGCACAGUUGGUGGAGUAUGUGGU
RNAcentral lists this ribosomal RNA (900 nucleotides) under uncultured bacterium. RNAcentral's name for it is "bacterial SSU rRNA". It matches the Rfam family "Bacterial small subunit ribosomal RNA", at positions 8 to 945 of the family's 1533-position model. The record is from RNAcentral.